This 253-nucleotide ribosomal RNA is filed under the name uncultured bacterium. RNAcentral describes it as "partial 16S ribosomal RNA". It matches the Rfam family "Bacterial small subunit ribosomal RNA", at positions 524 to 776 of the family's 1533-position model. The record is from RNAcentral.
UACGGAGGGUGCAAGCGUUAAUCGGAAUUACUGGGCGUAAAGCGCACGCAGGCGGUCUGUCAAGUCAGAUGUGAAAUCCCCGGGCUUAACCUGGGAACUGCAUUUGAAACUGGCAGGCCUGAGUCUCGUAGAGGGGGGUAGAAUUCCAGGUGUAGCGGUGAAAUGCGUAGAGAUCUGGAGGAAUACCGGUGGCGAAGGCGGCCCCCUGGACGAAGACUGACGCUCAGGUGCGAAAGCGUGGGGAGCAAACAGG